GACGAACGCUGGCGGCGUGCUUAACACAUGCAAGUCGAACGGAAAGGCCCUGCUUUUGUGGGGUGCUCGAGUGGCGAACGGGUGAGUAACACGUGAGUAACCUGCCCUUGACUUUGGGAUAACUUCAGGAAACUGGGGCUAAUACCGGAUAGGAGCUCCUGCUGCAUGGUGGGGAUUGGAAAGUUUCGGCGGUUGGGGAUGGACUCGCGGCUUAUCAGCUUGUUGGUGGGGUAGUGGCUUACCAAGGCUUUGACGGGUAGCCGGCCUGAGAGGGUGACCGGCCACAUUGGGACUGAGAUAGGGCCCAGACGCCUACGGGAGGCAGCAGUGGGGAAUAUUGCACAAUGGGCGGAAGCCUGAUGCAGCAACGCCGCGUGCGGGAUGACGGCCUUCGGGUUGUAAACCGCUUUCGCCUGUGACGAAGCGUGAGUGACGGUAAUGGGUAAAGAAGCACCGGCUAACUACGUG
RNAcentral lists this ribosomal RNA (468 nucleotides) under uncultured bacterium. RNAcentral describes it as "partial 16S ribosomal RNA". It matches the Rfam family "Bacterial small subunit ribosomal RNA", at positions 28 to 507 of the family's 1533-position model. The record is from RNAcentral.